RNAcentral lists this ribosomal RNA (418 nucleotides) under uncultured bacterium. RNAcentral's name for it is "partial 16S ribosomal RNA". It matches the Rfam family "Bacterial small subunit ribosomal RNA", at positions 338 to 753 of the family's 1533-position model. The record is from RNAcentral.
CCUACGUGCGGCAGCAGUGAGGAAUAUUGGUCAAUGGGCGCUAGCCUGAACCAGCCAAGUAGCGUGAAGGAUGACUGCCCUAUGGGUUGUCAACUUCUUUUAUAUGGGAAUAAAGUGCAGUAUGUAUACUGCUUUGCAUGUACCUUAUGAAUAAGGAUCGGCUAACUACGUGCCAGCAGCCGCUGUAAUACGGAGGAUCCGAGCGUUAUCCGGAUUGAUUUGGUUUACCGGGAGCGUAGGCGGGUUGUUAAGUCAGUUGUGAAAGUUUGCGGCGUAACCGUAAAAUUGCAGUUGAUACUUGCAUCGUUGAGUACAGUAGAGGUAGGCGGAAUUCGUGGUGUAGCGGUGAAAUGCUUAGAUAUCACGAAGAACUCCGAUUGCGAAGGCAGCCUGCUGGACUGUAACUGACGCUGAUGCU